UGUCGAAUCGGAGGCGAAUACCGCCCGCCGUCCCUGGUCGCUGCCGCUGCCAUCUAUGCUGGUGAACUGCUGUUUCUUGGAGAUGACGCCAGGUGGAUGCCAGGACUGAGCUGCGUUUAUCGCUCAAAAGAGGAUGUGCAAUCGCUGGCGACGCUUCUUUUAGUAGAGCUGAGCCAUUCGCGAGCUUCUUCUCUGCAGGGAGCGCGAAAAAAGUACUCAAGCGAAUCGCGCUACGGGAACCUGGUGUCGUGCGCCGAGGUGGCGCCCGAACGUGCCCU
Pollicipes pollicipes is the source of this 278-nucleotide long non-coding RNA. RefSeq lists it as uncharacterized. The record is from RefSeq and is a predicted model, not a curated record. Lineage: Eukaryota; Metazoa; Arthropoda; Thecostraca; Pollicipedomorpha; Pollicipedidae. The transcript has 3 exons.